Molecule: ribosomal RNA, 445 nt
Filed under: uncultured bacterium
Lineage: Bacteria
Description: partial 16S ribosomal RNA
Rfam family: Bacterial small subunit ribosomal RNA
Source: RNAcentral
GUGAGGAAUAUUGGUCAAUGGGCGGGAGCCUGAACCAGCCAAGUCGCGUGAAGGAAGAAGGAUCUAUGGUUCGUAAACUUCUUUUGCAGGGGAAUAAAGUGCGGGACGUGUCCUGUUUUGUAUGUACCCUGAGAAUAAGGAUCGGCUAACUCCGUGCCAGCAGCCGCGGUAAUACGGAGGAUCCAAGCGUUAUCCGGAUUUAUUGGGUUUAAAGGGUGCGCAGGCGGGUUGAUAAGUCAGCGGUGAAAGUUUGCAGCUUAACUGUAAAAUUGCCGUUGAAACUGUCGAGCUUGAGUGCAAAUGAGGUAAGCGGAAUGUGUUGUGUAGCGGUGAAAUGCUUAGAUAUAACACAGAACACCGAUUGCGAAGGCAGCUUACUGGGAUGCAACUGACGCUCAUGCACGAAAGCGUGGGGAUCAAACAGGAUUAGAAACCCGUGUAGUCC